This is a long non-coding RNA of Brassica oleracea var. oleracea, 1298 nucleotides long. RefSeq lists it as uncharacterized. The record is from RefSeq and is a predicted model, not a curated record. NCBI's taxonomy places the organism in Eukaryota, Viridiplantae, Streptophyta, Magnoliopsida, Brassicales, Brassicaceae. The transcript has 3 exons.
GUCUCUCUUAUUGUUCUCAGACUCUUGACCUUUGUCGUAUGCGUUCAAUUUCUCUGCAAACACGAAACUUUUCUUCUACAAACUCUUAAUCUUCCCUUAUCGUUCAACGUAUUCUCUUGAUUUACCAAUUAAUGUUUUCGUAUCGACCACUCCGUUUCCUUCAAGUCAAACCUAUAAAAUGGAGAGGGUGGAGGGUUGGCUGAAUCUUCACAAGACUUGGUAAAUUAAAUUACGAGGUUUCCGCUAUAUUUUAGGACUGAUGGCGUUUCACUCGAUAAAGUCUCUUCACAAAUUAACUCGAAUCACUUCUGCAGCCGAUUCUUCUGUUAGCAGCCAUGGUGAAGAACCUGAUAACCAAACCAAGUAUAAAGCUCCGUCUCAGUACCGUUUUCACUCUUUUAUAUUUGAUUUGUUGAUUAUUUUUUCAUAUCAGGAGUAUAUUUGAUUGGUACCUGACAUAAGACCGGGGGUUGAUAUACAAGUUAUAAGUUUAAGAACAAUUUUCUGAAAGAUAAAUUUAGAAACUGUUUGUGCUUCUGUUCUUUAGCUCAUGUUCAUAGUGUUCUCCUCUUCUUAACUCAUGUUCAUAUUGUUCUCCUGAUGUUUAAAUUCAUGUUCAUAUUGUUCUGAAACUCAACAGUCAACAUUAUCAAGCUGUUAUAUUCGGAUCUUUAUUGAAAUCUUUUGAAUGAUUAAUGUAGACUUAAAAUAAAUGUGCAAAAAAAUGUUUUUUUUGAACAAGUAUAUAGUAAUAAAAGCGAUGUAUGGAGCUUGGGUUUAGUAAUGCUUGAAUUGCGCUGCAAGAAUCAUAUCCACCUCAGCUGAAGAGGAAACAUGGAGCAGUCUUCUCGAGUUCAUGGAAGCUAUUGAUGACCAACCACCGCCCACUCUUCUUCCUUCAGAAAGUUUCUCCUUUUGCAAAAGGACCCAGUCGAAGCUCUGCAAAGGAUCUAAUGGUUUGUUGAAAUCACCAUCCUUGAAAAUCAUCUCAGGAACAUCCUUUCUUGAAGAAGUACGACGACAACUCUGGGACAAAUCUGGCAUCAUACUUCAUAGAUGCAUGGUCUCUGUUUGCAACGCUUAAGAAUCUGUCUGGUUAGUUCUCCGUUUAGGCUCCAGGAAGAUAUCAUAUUAUCAUCAUCAUCUGGUUGUUACUAUUAUUAUCUGAGGUUUCUUUGUUUUAAACCACCAGUAAAAAUAAUAUCUUGAUCAUAUAGAUUUGUGCUAAUGUUGUAUUUAAAGAUUAUAGGAUAUAUGAGAAUCAUGGGACUGAUUAGUGAGUUAUAUUUUUUUGACUA